This is a long non-coding RNA of Lytechinus variegatus (green sea urchin), 627 nucleotides long. RefSeq lists it as uncharacterized. The transcript has 3 exons. The record is from RefSeq and is a predicted model, not a curated record. Lineage: Eukaryota; Metazoa; Echinodermata; Echinoidea; Temnopleuroida; Toxopneustidae.
AAUUCACGAAAAACCUAGCUCCUGGUUUUUGGUGGUUUAAACCCCCUCCUGGUUUAAACCCCGAGCUGGGUUUUUCAUUUACGUUUCACGAAAGAGGUUUAAACCUCGAGGGGGUUUAAAUGCGUCAUAAAACGUCAUGAAACGUCAUAUUUUUUAGUCUGCUCUUAGAUGUGGUUUAAACCAUGGUUUAAUUUUACGAGCAUGCGCACUUGAGGAGUUUGAGAAAAAUCCGUGAAGCGAAGAAAAUUUUUCUUGCGGUCCUGGACCUGACAAGUGGUCUUCUUGAUUAGAAAUUCAAUUACAUCGGCAUCAGAGGUACCAUACAGUGUAGGUCUCUAUGGAUUAUCUCCAUCUUCUUCACAGCUUUAAAUUACUAAGAGCUACCUUUCCCAAGACAUUGUGGGCUUCAUGAUGCUAAAAAUCCAUCGAAAUCGUACAAGGAUGGGCCAUCUCGAGAUCAGUAUCGACUGUCAAAAGAAACCGUCACCAUAAUAUGCUGGAAGCCGAAAUGAAGAGGGACACACAGCUCAGAGGAUAGAUCAACUUCCUGUUUAUUUGCAGGUGUUGACAACUCUCCAUUUUUAUGCAGUGGGUAAGUAAUUUAAUUUUUCAUAAACUAUUAUUGAA